GAUGAACGCUGGCGGCGUGCCUAAUACAUGCAAGUCGAGCGAACAGACGAGGAGCUUGCUCCUCUGACGUUAGCGGCGGACGGGUGAGUAACACGUGGAUAACCUACCUAUAAGACUGGGAUAACUUCGGGAAGCCGGAGCUAAUACCGGAUAAUAUAUUGAACCGCAUGGUUGAAUGGUGAAAGACGGUGUUGCUGUCACUUAUAGAUGGAUCCGCGCCGCAUUAGCUAGUUGGUAAGGUAAAGGCUUACCAAGGCGACGAUGCGUAGCCGACCUGUGAGGCUGAUCGGCCACACUGGAACUUAGACACGGUCCAUACUCCUACGGGAGGCAGCAGUAGGGUAUCUUCCGCAAUGGGCGAAAGCCUGACGGAGCAACGCCGCGUGAGUUAUGAAGGUCUUCCGAUCGUAAUACUCUGUUAUUAGUUAAGAACAAAUUUGUAAGUAACUAUGCACUUCUUGACGGUACCUAAUCAGAAAGCCACGGCUAACUACGUG
This 497-nucleotide ribosomal RNA is filed under the name uncultured bacterium. RNAcentral describes it as "partial 16S ribosomal RNA". It matches the Rfam family "Bacterial small subunit ribosomal RNA", at positions 28 to 507 of the family's 1533-position model. The record is from RNAcentral.